UUAAGAGCGACGGGCGAUGUGUGCAUAUUCUAGAGCUAUGAUCAUUUUAAAUAAAUAUAUUUAAUUACUAUCAAAUCCGUAUUCAAAUUUCUUUUAAAAAAAAUUAUUCUUAAAUAAAUUUUAUUGUAACCCACCUCUUCUUAAAUAUAAACUACACCUUGAUCUGAUUUAUUUUUUAAUAAAAAAUUUUGAAUAUUAAAAUUCUAUUAAAAUAUUCAAUCUACGACGAUAUGCAAAUUUAAAAUUAAAGUAUAUAUAAUCGUGGACCAUCAAUUAUAGGACAGGUUCCUCUGAAAAGACUAAAAUACCGCCAAAUUUUUUAAUUUUUAAGAAAAUAACUAAUACUAAUUUAGUAAAAAAAAAUUAUAUUUAAAAUAAUAGGGUAUCUAAUCCUAGUUUA
Molecule: ribosomal RNA, 400 nt
Filed under: Bruchidius saundersi
Lineage: Eukaryota; Metazoa; Arthropoda; Insecta; Coleoptera; Chrysomelidae
Description: partial 12S ribosomal RNA
Source: RNAcentral